UACGUAGGGUGCGAGCGUUGUUCGGAAUUACUGGGCGUAAAGGGCGCGUAGGCGCCUUCUAAGUCGAACGUGAAAUCCCCGGGCUCAACCCGGGAACUGCGUCCGAUACUGGAAGGCUUGAAUCCGGGAGAGGGAUGCGGAAUUCCAGGUGUAGCGGUGAAAUGCGUAGAUAUCUGGAGGAACACCGGUGGCGAAGGCGGCAUCCUGGACCGGUAUUGACGCUGAGGCGCGAAAGCCAGGGGAGCAAACGGG
Molecule: ribosomal RNA, 252 nt
Filed under: uncultured bacterium
Lineage: Bacteria
Description: partial 16S ribosomal RNA
Rfam family: Bacterial small subunit ribosomal RNA
Source: RNAcentral